Molecule: ribosomal RNA, 1174 nt
Filed under: Candidatus Phytoplasma trifolii
Lineage: Bacteria; Bacillati; Mycoplasmatota; Mollicutes; Acholeplasmatales; Acholeplasmataceae
Description: bacterial SSU rRNA
Rfam family: Bacterial small subunit ribosomal RNA
Source: RNAcentral
UCUUUUUGUUUUUAAAGACCUUCUUAUGAAGGUAUGCUUAAAGAGGGGCUUGCGCCACAUUAGUUAGUUGGUAGGGUAAAAGCCUACCAAGACGAUGAUGUGUAGCUGGACUGAGAGGUUGAACAGCCACAUUGGGACUGAGACACGGCCCAAACUCCUACGGGAGGCAGCAGUAGGGAAUUUUCGGCAAUGGAGGAAACUCUGACCGAGCAACGCCGCGUGAACGAUGAAGUAUUUCGGUAUGUAAAGUUCUUUUAUUGAAGAAGAAAAAGUAGUGGAAAAACUAUAUUGACGUUAUUCAAUGAAUAAGCCCCGGCUAACUAUGUGCCAGCAGCCGCGGUAAGACAUAGGGGGCGAGCGUUAUCCGGAAUUAUUGGGCGUAAAGGGUGCGUAGGCUGUUAGAUAAGUCUAUAAUUUAAUUUCAGUGCUUAACGCUGUCUUGUUAUAGAAACUGUCUUGACUAGAGUGAGAUAGAGGCAAGCGGAAUUCCAUGUGUAGCGGUAAAAUGUGUAAAUAUAUGGAGGAACACCAGAAGCGUAGGCGGCUUGCUGGGUCUUUACUGACGCUGAGGCACGAAAGCGUGGGUAGCAAACAGGAUUAGAUACCCUGGUAGUCCACGCCGUAAACGAUGAGUACUAAGUGUCGGGGUAAAACUCGGUACUGAAGUUAACACAUUAAGUACUCCGCCUGAGUAGUACGUACGCAAGUAUGAAACUUAAAGGAAUUGACGGGACUCCGCACAAGCGGUGGAUCAUGUUGUUUAAUUCGAAGAUACACGAAAAAUCUUACCAGGUCUUGACAUACUCUGCAAAGCUAUAGAAAUAUAGUGGAGGUUAUCAGGGAUACAGGUGGUGCAUGGUUGUCGUCAGUUCGUGUCGUGAGAUGUUAGGUUAAGUCCUAAAACGAGCGCAACCCUUGUCGUUAAUUGCCAGCACGUAAUGGUGGGGUCUUUAGCGAGACUGCCAAUUAAACAUUGGGGGACGGUGAGGAUUACGUCAAAUCAUCAUGCCCCUUAUGAUCUGGGCUACAAAUGUGAUACAAUGGCUGUGACAAAGAGUAGCUGAAACGCGAGUUUUUAGUCAGUCUCAAAAGAGCAGUCUCAGUUCGGAUUAAAGUCUGUAACUCGACUUCAUGAAAUGGAAUCGCUAGUAAUCGCGAAUCAGCAUGUCGCGGU